Molecule: ribosomal RNA, 601 nt
Filed under: uncultured Bacteroidales bacterium
Lineage: Bacteria; Pseudomonadati; Bacteroidota; Bacteroidia; Bacteroidales
Description: bacterial SSU rRNA
Rfam family: Bacterial small subunit ribosomal RNA
Source: RNAcentral
UCGAGGGGCAGCAUUUCAGUUUGCUUGCAAACUGGAGAUGGCGACCGGCGCACGGGUGAGUAACACGUAUCCAACCUGCCGAUAACUCGGGGAUAGCCUUUCGAAAGAAAGAUUAAUACCCGAUGGUAUAAUCAGACCGCAUGGUCUUGUUAUUAAAGAAUUUCGGUUAUCGAUGGGGAUGCGUUCCAUUAGGCAGUGGGUGAGGUAACGGCUCACCAAACCUUCGAUGGAUAGGGGUUCUGAGAGGAAGGUCCCCCACAUUGGAACUGAGACACGGUCCAAACUCCUACGGGAGGCAGCAGUGAGGAAUAUUGGUCAAUGGGCGCAGGCCUGAACCAGCCAAGUAGCGUGAAGGAUGACUGCCCUAUGGGUUGUAAACUUCUUUUAUAUGGGAAUAAAGUUUUCCACGUGUGGAAUUUUGUAUGUACCAUAUGAAUAAGGAUCGGCUAACUCCGUGCCAGCAGCCGCGGUAAUACGGAGGAUCCGAGCGUUAUCCGGAUUUAUUGGGUUUAAAGGGAGCGUAGGUGGACAGUUAAGUCAGUUGUGAAAGUUUGCGGCUCAACCGUAAAAUUGCAGUUGAUACUGGCUGUCUUGAGUACAG